Molecule: long non-coding RNA, 403 nt
Filed under: Carica papaya (papaya)
Lineage: Eukaryota; Viridiplantae; Streptophyta; Magnoliopsida; Brassicales; Caricaceae
Description: long non-coding RNA (CPAP_LNC007613)
Source: RNAcentral
AACUACUUCUCAUCCUUUAAAAAUAUGUACAAAUUAGUCCCCUUGCGAAUGCAUGCUUACAUCCUCAACGUUUGUGGACGUGGCAUAAUUUGAUUAGAUACUUUUUCACGCACAUGUCAUGUAGGAUUGUGAUGGAUAAACACAUAUGAACUUGUCUGAAAAACUAUAAAUACCUUCCCUUUUACGCCUCGCUCUUCCUUCUCUUCUUCCUCAUCUCUCUCCUCCUCUCUAUAUGUUUCCCUCUCUUCCACUACUUUCUUUCUCCUCUUCUUUCUCUUUUUUCUCUCUCUCACUUCACUCAUUUCUUUCUUGCUUCUUUCUCAUGCCAUAUACAUAAUAUUCAUGUAUAUAUUUAUGUAUGCACGUCGUCAUCUCCAGACACACUGUUGUCUCCUCUUCCAUU